UGGCUAGUGAUGGAUUGUGGGAGUUGCAAUACAAAGCUACCUGCUCACUGCAUGGGUGAAAGUUUGCACUGCCUUGCUGGAUCAGGCAAGGUUCCACUUAGGUUAGCAGCCACUGAUUAUCCAUCAUGAAUUUUGGCUCACGUGGUUCUGGGAACCUCAGAGAAUAACUGCUUGUUCAAGUAGGAAUCCAGUACCUGUAUGUAUGCUCCAUGAGGUGCCUCUUGCAUUAGGAAGGCAUUGAAUUUGCAGGAUGAGUGUUCUCCUCGCAUUCCCCAGUCAUAGUCACAUGCCAUCCUUAGGCACCCUUCUCCCUGUUUCUUUCUAGAAGCCUCGCCUGGUCCGCUCCCGGUCCUGCUGCCCCAGCGAGAUUGCAAGCAUCUUGGACAAUGACCACAGGGAGCUGAUUGGUGAUUUCUCAAAGGCAUAUCUGCUGCAGACAGUGGAAGGGAAGCAUCAGGAUCUCAAGUAUAUCUCUCCUGAAAUGAUGGUGGCUGUGCUGACUGGUCAGUUCAGCAGCCUCAUUGAAAGCUGUGUGAUCGUGGAUUGCAGAUAUCCCUACGAAUAUGAAGGAGGUCACAUCAAGGUUGGUUCUGUUCUUGUAACACUUCCUAAUGCUGAGGCAUAACCAAAGGCCCUUAUGAGAGAGACACUGGACUUAUUUUCCCACCUGUACCUCAAAGAACUUCACUAACUUUGGCUCAGUUACUGACCACAAUUCAGUGGCCUGGUGCUUGCUUUUACAGGGAGAGUACACCUGGCACUUACUUUGCUGUUUUUGUAAUGCUUGGUGAACAUGGUAUCAAGUAAAUGCUGCCUUUUCUUUUCUUUUUAAUGCUGAGCGGAAAUGAGCCCUGUGAAUCAGUUGCCUAGUUCAGAGCUGGCAAGGUUUUGGGUCUGUUUUGAUCACAUGCCCCCCUCCCCAAAUAUAGGAGAAAAUCUGGUGAUUGGAGACAUUCAGAGUUAAUGCAGUUGGCUGUUGAUAUGAGGCACAGCAGCAGUAGCUUCCUUUAAAAAAUAUACUGCAAGUGCUUUGGCAGGUAGCACUCUGACUGACACUAUUUCCUUCCCACAAGACAUGAGUGGAGAAUAAGGGGAGACAUUUCCUCUAGUUGUUCUGAUGUGCCGACAGAAAAUAAAUGAUAAAAAAAAUUGAGCCCAGAAAUGGGUUUGGGGGAAGCAUCUCCACCUCCCCCCCCCCCC
Long non-coding RNA from Sceloporus undulatus (fence lizard), 1200 nucleotides. RefSeq lists it as uncharacterized. Lineage: Eukaryota; Metazoa; Chordata; Lepidosauria; Squamata; Phrynosomatidae. The record is from RefSeq and is a predicted model, not a curated record. The transcript has 3 exons.